CACGAAGUUAGCCGGGGCUUCUUCUACGGUUACCGUCAUUAUCUUCACCGUUGAAAGAGCUUUACAACCCUAGGGCCUUCAUCACUCACGCGGCAUGGCUGGAUCAGGCUUGCGCCCAUUGUCCAAUAUUCCCCACUGCUGCCUCCCGUAGGAGUUUGGGCCGUGUCUCAGUCCCAAUGUGGCUGAUCAUCCUCUCAGACCAGCUAUGGAUCGUCGCCUUGGUAGGCCUUUACCCCACCAACUAGCUAAUCCAACGCGGGCUCAUCAAACCCCGAUAAAUCUUUCCCCCGUAGGGCGUAUGCGGUAUUAAUUCCAGUUUCCCGGAGCUAUUCCGCAGGGCUCGGUAGAUUCCCACGCGUUACUCACCCGUCUGCCGCUCCCCUUGCGGGGCGCUCGACUUGCAUGUGUUAAGCCUGCCGCCAGCGUUCGUUCUGAGCCAGGAUCAAACUCU
This 451-nucleotide ribosomal RNA is filed under the name uncultured Hyphomicrobiales bacterium. RNAcentral describes it as "uncultured Rhizobiales bacterium partial 16S ribosomal RNA". Lineage: Bacteria; Pseudomonadati; Pseudomonadota; Alphaproteobacteria; Hyphomicrobiales. The record is from RNAcentral.